CGGGUGAGUAAUGUCUGGGAAGCUGCCUGAUGGAGGGGGAUAACUACUGGAAACGGUAGCUAAUACCGCAUAACGUCGCAAGACCAAAGAGGGGGACCUUCGGGCCUCUUGCCAUCGGAUGUGCCCAGAUGGGAUUAGCUAGUAGGUGGGGUAACGGCUCACCUAGGCGACGAUCCCUAGCUGGUCUGAGAGGAUGACCAGCCACACUGGAACUGAGACACGGUCCAGACUCCUACGGGAGGCAGCAUG
Molecule: ribosomal RNA, 249 nt
Filed under: uncultured bacterium
Lineage: Bacteria
Description: partial 16S ribosomal RNA
Rfam family: Bacterial small subunit ribosomal RNA
Source: RNAcentral